AUGAGGAAGAAGCCCAGGAGAGGAGGAAGAGGAGAGAAAAGAGGUCAGGAAUGGCUCUGUCUCAGGGGAAAAAAAAUCGAAAAUCCGGGGAUCCACCACCGCCCCACAGCGACCACCUGCAGACCGGGAUUUCCAACCACUGAAUUCCUUGAGCCUCAUGAGCUGGACAAGGGUGCCACCUGCUGGCCAAAACUGCUCUUUAUUGGAACCGUUUUGAACUUGUUAGGAGGAAAAAAAUCUUCGUUUCCGACAUAAUUAGUACACACAACUCUAAGCUUUUACCUCAAAAUUGUAAAAGACAAUAAUUUAUAAAAAGCACACUCAAGGAACAGGGAAGCACCAUCCUCUGCCCCGCCCGCUGCCCCUCCUUCUCGGGCUCCCUCGGCCCCGCCCCCGGAAGUCCCGCCUCUAGCCCCGCUCUUGCAGUUUCUUCCGGAACUAGAAGCAAGGAUCGCCGAGGGACGGUCACACGGGCGAAUGUAAACUUUCUUGUUUAUACUGUAAAUCGGCCGCGCAGUCCCCCUUUAGUCCGACUUCAGGCUGUAGGAGUCACUGCGGACCUAAAAUCCCCUCGCCCGCCCUUUCCCCACCUAAAUCCAGGCGGCGCCGCUCCAGGUCGGGGAUCUUUUCCUUCGCGUCUGAAGCCGCCCUGAGGCUGGUCCCUGCCCUUGGCUUUUCUGCCUUCUGCCACGGCCUUUGGUGAUAUUUUCCCUCAUAAAACCCUUUACUCCCUCCGUCCUCCCCAUGUAACGUCCUCUUCCGCGAGGUGGACUCGCGCUCUCAGCCUUGCCGUCUCGGCCCCUGGCGGGCGGCGCCGCCGCCCCGCUCCCGUGAGGCCGGGUCCCGGGAUUCUGGGGAGCCCGGCCCUCUCCUGGGAUCCCAUCCACUCUGUCCCCGCGUCCUCCUCAGGCCGAUCCUUAUGCUCCGCGGGCCUCCCCUUGGUAGUCAGCCCUUCCCCCAUCCCGCGUUGGGGGAGGUGACCAGGGUCAGCCGUAUGACCUCCCCAGUAUUGUGACGUCCCAAAUUCCACCCCGCUGGAAAACGGCCUUUUCCAGUAGUCGGGCAUCCUAGUUAGUCGCCAUUUUUCUAAAAACGUGGGCGAGCAGGACCAGGAAAAGCAGAGAAGGAGCUACGGAGAGAGAAAUAGAAAAACAGAGGAGAUUUGUACCUUCAGAAUGUAGUAGAUUUAAACUUUGUUUCAAUUAUACAGAUGAG
RNAcentral lists this long non-coding RNA (1215 nucleotides) under Camelus dromedarius (Arabian camel). Its description in RNAcentral is "lncRNA (ENSCDRG00005001196.1)". Lineage: Eukaryota; Metazoa; Chordata; Mammalia; Artiodactyla; Camelidae. The record is from RNAcentral.